CCUACGGGGGGCAGCAGUGAGGAAUAUUGGUCAAUGGACGGAAGUCUGAACCAGCCAUACCGCGUGCAGGAAGACGGUCUUAUGGAUUGUAAACUGCUUUUUUGCUAGGGUACAGACCCUGUCGAGCACAGGGGGAAGAAAGUAUAGUAAGAAUAAGCAUCGGCUAACUCCGUGCCAGCAGCCGCGGUAAUACGGAGGAUGCGAGCGUUAUCCGGAUUUAUUGGGUUUAAAGGGUGCGUAGGCUGUUAAGUAGGUCUAUGGUGAAAUCGUUGUGCUUAACACAACUGAGCUGUGGAAACCGUUUAACUAGAAUUUAAGUGGCGUAGGCGGAAUGAAUCAUGUAGAGGUGACAUUCAUAGAUAUGAUUCAGAACACCGUUCGCGAAGGCGGCUUACGAAGGUAAA
Molecule: ribosomal RNA, 404 nt
Filed under: uncultured Pseudomonas sp.
Lineage: Bacteria; Pseudomonadati; Pseudomonadota; Gammaproteobacteria; Pseudomonadales; Pseudomonadaceae
Description: bacterial SSU rRNA
Rfam family: Bacterial small subunit ribosomal RNA
Source: RNAcentral